This is a non-coding RNA of Arachis ipaensis, 5474 nucleotides long. NCBI's taxonomy places the organism in Eukaryota, Viridiplantae, Streptophyta, Magnoliopsida, Fabales, Fabaceae. The record is from RefSeq and is a predicted model, not a curated record.
CACUCACCACUCCCCCCCCCUCCCCCAACAGUCCAACACACCCUCCUCACACGUUUUCUCUUCAGAGCUUUCUGGUUUUACCCUCAAACAAACCCUAGCCAUCUAACCUCCACCACCGGCGCAGGGAGUGAGGCAGUACCGCCGUCCGUCGCGCUGUCGUCGUGCUCCAGGUCUCCAACCCCUGUUCAUUCUCACAGUCUCACCAAUUGCAGCUUCUUCGUUGAGAUCGAUAUUCGCGUCUGGUUUUCGUCUUCUCAGCCGCGCUUCUGCCGUCGUCAGUCGUCGUGUCCGUCGCCUGAUCGCCAUUUUCCGUCGCACUCAACAGAUCUUCCUCACACUCUGCCCAAACUGCUCAGAUCAAAGGUAAUGGCUUCUCUGCUCACUCCUCCACGCCGCGCGCCUCCUCCACGUCACCGGAGCCCUUGGUCCUGAGAGUCUUGUGUUCGAUUGUCACGGCGGAGGGCCAUAUACCAACGUCGCCGAUGGCCGGAUUCUAAAGUGGGAAGGAGAUGAAGUUGGUUGGACUUAGUUUGCUGUCACCUCUUCCAAUAGUUGUUUAUUUCUUCUUUUUGUUGGAUAGCUUACAAGGCAGCCAGAAGCACCAGACAGGGCAGUGGCUCAAUGGCAUCUCUGGAAGAGCAUAGUGGCAGAAUGGUGUGCCGCACUUGAAGAGGAGAAGAUUAGGAGAUCUUGAUGUUGGAAAUGGUGGAAUGAUGCGACAAAAGAGGGGAGCACACAGACAAGCUUGAUACUACUCUUGGCAAGAGCCCACAAAAUCAUGUUAAAGGUGUUGAUGGAUGGAAGAGGACGCCUAGAGAGCAAGCCAGUGAAGAAAUCAACAUAUUUAUCAAGUGAUUGGGACUGAGAGUGAGAGUGAGAGUGUAGGGAUGAAGUUGAAGGGAAGCAAAGACAGAGAGCGGAGUGGGGAAACAGAAUAAGGAGAGAGCAUGGGGGUUUGAAGAGCAUGCCUUAACAUGAUUCGUGAGAAUGAGAACAAUGACAACAUUCUUGCAAUCAAAUCAAGAGAUGUUAAGAAUUAAUGCAGUGAGAAUUAGAGAAAUUGAAGAAGAUAUGAGAUAGAGAAAUGACUAUUGUCAGUGAGAAUUACACUGCAACACUCCCUUUCUUCGUGUCCCGGGAAUGGGCCCCACCUCUCACAAACCGAUUCUCUUCUUGGUUCUUACCAUUAACAAACUGCAACCCGUCCCACUAUAUUCCAAUCCAGUCGUAACUAAUUCUCCUUCCUCAUUCCUAUUGUGCUCUCACUCUUAUGAUAGUCUUAAGUCUUUAGCCCAAACAGAGGCCUUCCUCUCUAUUCCACUCUUGACUUGGGCCGGUUGAUGAGCGAUCCGGGUCAGUGCUUGCAACAAGAGGAGUAUGGUAAAAUUGAAUGCAAUGAGUUGAAGACUGCUUCCACCUGAGAGACUGACAGUAGUAUCAAGCUUAUUCGCGCGAAGCACAAGAGAUUCUCUUUGAUUUGCACAAGCUAUCAAUGAGAGUGUUUGGAACCAAGUCCUUACAAAGCAUUUCUUCAAAGAGACUCAAGGCUUCAUCUAGCAUUUUAGAAGCCAUUAAUCAUGAUAUUGUAACUUUGAAUAUCCGGAGAAAUUCCCUCAGCAAGCAUUUCAGAGAAUAAAUGAAAAGCAUCAGUUACAACUAAGGGAAUUUCUCCGGAUGUUCAAAGUUACAAUAUCAUGAUUAAUGGCUUCUGCAAAAGUAAAAUGCUAGAUGAAGCCUUGAGUCUCUUUGAAGAAAUGCUUCGUAAGGACUUGGUUCCAAACACGGUAACUUACACCACUCUUAUUGAUAGCUUGUGCAAAUCAAAGAGAAUCUCUUAUUCUUUGGAGCUUUUGGUCCAGAUGCAUGAUAGAGGUUAACCUACAAAUGUAGUCACUUAGAAUUCCUUGUUGAAUGGGAUGUUCAAAAACCAACAACUUGACAAGGCACUUGUGUUAUUCAAUCAAAUGAAAGAGAGUGGCAUUGAUCCAAAUAUACACAUACAAAGGUGGAAGACUUUCAGAUGCAAGAGCGAUUUUCUAAGACCUUUCUGUUAAAGGCUGUCCUCCAAAUGUGAGGACAUACAAUAUUAUGAUCAAUGGGCUCUGCAAAAAGGAACUGUUUGAAGAAAUAUUGAUCCUGUUGUUUGAAAUGGAACACAAUGGUUGCUUACCAAAUGAGGUGACUUUUGUAAUUAUCAUUCAUGCUUUCACACAGAUGAGUAUGACAUGGCGGAGCAUGUUCUUCGGGAAGUUGACAAAAGAAGGUACCGACUUGCAGCUCUCUAAUGUGAAUUUAUCUUAUCUUCUUUCUCUUUGAUUUCUGUUUGGCCCCUUCGGAAUCUUCUCAACUUAUUUGGUUUCUAGUUGAACCCAUACUCACUGGAUUAUAUAUUGGUUGAGUUCUCCUAUAUGCACUUAGAUAUUUUACAUGUGCAUGUGGCACAUUUAAUUUAAGAAUCUACGAUUGCUCAUCAUUUCUAUGUUAGCCUGUUAGCACACUUUCUUAAUCUACGAUUUUUCAUAAUCAUCCUGAACAUUCAUACACCAAAGUUCAUAAAAUCCAGAGACUUUUAUAUUUCACAUACAAAUUUGAACAAACAGCCUACUUAGUAAAGAAGAGAUCAACAAUUCUGGCAUGUGAGUCAAGUGACACCCAAUGAGAACUUGAAAUAGAUCUCAACAAAAAUAUACACAAACCAUGACAACUGUACCUUAUGGCAUUGGCAACAUGGCUAAACAGAUGCCAUUAGGCUCUCUUUAAAUAUCUGUUAAAACAAUCUCCAGUAGCGUGUUUUUAAUGGUUUCUUUCAUAGUUAACUCAUGAAUUUUCACCGUCCCUUUUAACAAAGCAUCCAAAGUUAUACAUUCCAUUAUGCAAAAUGCCAUGUUAGGUCUUCUUUGCGUUGUCUUUUCUUUUUCUAUUUUUUUCCAACUUUUUCCAUUUCCAAGAUUUUGCAAAUAUAGGAUUUCUUUUUUUCCUUUUUUUUUUUUCUAUUUACGCCUCUUUCUUUGAAAAUUAUGAAAAUGGAACACUAAAAAUAAAAUAGAAAACGGUCUUGCAAACCAAACAAAACUUGAAAAACCCAAGCAAUACAUGUCGCAGUUAAGAGCUUAUGAAUUUGAUUGCAUGACAAUUAUAACAACUAAUCAUUACAACCUUAAUCACCAAUCAAUAUUAAUAGCAUAAAAGCUUAUUGCAAGACUAGUGAACUGCUAUGAUUGAGGUUAACACAAAACUACUAAUUGUGACAACAGAAUUAGUAUAUAAAUAAAAAUCAUAUAAUUGAGACCAAACUUUGAUAUUGAGUGAGAGAGAUUAUCUUCUAAAUACUUAAUUGGUAUGUACCAUGAUUAUCUGUUAGGAACUAAUUUCCAAGUCAAGGUUAAAGUACACAUGGUAUGGAGAAAAUGUCAUGGAGGUGAACUCCAAUUAUCCUAAACAAAAUUCAAGUUAAAUAAAUAAUAGAAGAAAGGUACCUAUUCAAACCUAGAUAAAAGUUCUAAAUGUCAACCUUAGAAAAGAAUAGUGUGGUAACAAUAAAUUUUUGACUGAUAACUGUAAAGCAAGAGAUCCAUGCCAUCCUUAAUAUAUUGUCUAGUAGACCUUGAAAGCUACCUUUCUUUUCAAGGCAUUCAUAUCUCCACCACUUUUAACAUGAGAACCACUUUCUUCAUUUCCAAAUAAGACUCUUCCAAGUUACUACUUUACAAAAUCAGAAUAUAAUGUUUGAUCUGUCAAAUUAAAGGAGGGUAAGUAAAAUAUAUCCUCUCUUAAUACUGUUAAUUCAUUGUCUAUGUAAAGUCUUGAACAGUGAAUUCUUGAUAAUAAUAGAAGGUUCUCCAGCUUUUUUAAAUUGGAGCCAGUUUUCCUUUAAAAAAUUACUAAAUAUAAAGAGUAAUAAUCAAGUUAUUUAAAGCAUUAAGUAAAGUUAUUUAUUGCCUGACUAAGCAUUUAGAUAAGCUGCGUUCUAAUUUGAUUGGUACAUUGGGUUGUUGGAGCCUCAUAUGGAUCCAAUUUUCAGAGCUAAGAUGAUAAAUUGGAUAAUAAUUUUGCUGUGGUUGUUCCUUGGUAUAGUCUUAUAGAGCUGGAUGCAAGGAGGCUGAGGGUUCCAACAAUGAGCUAUUGAGUGCCAUCAAGAAUAUCCCAAAUGAUCAGUUUUCUUCUGGUAAGAUUUACUUCAAUAUUAACUAUGAAACAAACAUGAAAGGUAGACAUUAGACAAACGGUAGUUUCAUUUUUAGACAAGUUUCACGGUCUCCUUAUAACAAGCAUUCUCAGCGCAGGCAUUCUCCCUUCUCUUCUCUUGAUAAUUCCACGUUUGUUGCCAUAUUAGUUUUUAUAUGAAAACACUGAAAUUUUCAAUAUCCUUUGUAUUAAACAACUGUAGAAGCAAAUUAAAUGGAAGUUUUUAAUAAUUAAGAAGAAGCUAAGAAAUUACAAGUUUCUAUUUUGGCCGAAAUAUGUGCAGGAGUGCGUGGAUAGCUUCUUGAAAAGCAUAUAUAUGUAGAAUUGGGUGAUUGAGUGAGGUCAAAGAAUGAUUCAUUCUCAAAAUUUGGAUUAGUAGAGCAAAUAAAUACCACUGAUGAUAAGAGUGACUAUUUGUGGUACUCAUUAAGCAUUGAUUUUGAAGAUGAUGUUAGUGCUCAAACUGUUAUUCACAUCGAAUCCUUUGGACAUUCCCUUCAUGCUUUCAUAAAUGGGAAGCUUGCAGGGAGUGAAAAAGGAAAUAGUCUUUUUCUUCUUCUUUUUUGAAUAUAUAUACUAUAUACUAUAUAAGCAUAUUUAAUAGAGGAAAUUUUGUUUCUUUGAAGCAUUGGCCUUGUUAUCUUUUCUCCUAUGUGAUUUAGAAACUAGAAGUCAAAAUAUUUCCAUGCUAUAUAUAUAAGCUGAUGUGAUUCUUAUACAAAUCAGAACUAUUGACCUCUCCUCCCAGCAACGAUCAUAUCAGAUUGGUCUUCAAGGUGAAGACUUAGGUCAAUCUAGUGGAAGUGUUGGACAGUAGAACCCACAGUCAAACUUACCCUCAGAAUCAGGAAGAUCAGGGCCAGUUUUGUCACUAGAGUGUCCUAAUCCUAAGCAGAUCAUCUUUUCUAUUAAAUUCGCCAGUUUUGGCACGCCGAGUGGAACUUGUGGAAACUUCAACCAUGGUAGCUGCAGCAGCAACAAGGCUCUAUCCAUUGUUAAGAAGGCCUGCAUUGGAUUAAGCAGCUAUAAAAUUAAUGUAUCAAUUGAUAUAUUUGGAGAUCCAUGUAGAAGAGUAACUAAAAGUCUUGCUGUUGAAGCUUCUUGUACAUAGACAUUGUUGCUUCAUGAAGUACCUACCCUUCUUCAUAUCUUGGACAUGAAGGAUCUUAGAUUUUUUUUAGUUGAAAAAUCAUGAUUACUGCUGAUUGAUUAGCCAAAUGUAAAAACGGUGAAUGAAAUAUUCUAAAUAAAAUAGUAUAUUGAAUGUAAUUCCAUUAGUUCAUACCUUA